This 102-nucleotide small RNA is filed under the name bovine gut metagenome. RNAcentral's name for it is "Ribosomal protein L10 leader". It matches the Rfam family "Ribosomal protein L10 leader". From Rfam's summary of the family: This family is a putative r-protein leader autoregulatory structure found in B. subtilis and other low-GC Gram-positive bacteria. It is located in the 5' untranslated regions of mRNAs encoding ribosomal proteins L10 and L12 (rplJ-rplL). The record is from RNAcentral.
AAAAUUAAAUAUUUGUACCGUAGACAGUAGGGGAGAAAUCUUAAUUAUCCUACCGAGGAACUUUAUAAAGAUUCUUUGGCCUUACUGUAUUGUAAGGCUUUU